UACUACUACCCAGGUAAAGACUAGACACACCUCACCACCACCACUACUACUACUACUUCUACUGCCCAGGUAAAGACUAGAACACACCUCACCACCACCACUACUACCACCACCACCACCACUACUACUACUACUUCUACUGCCCAGGUAAAGACUAUAACACACCUCAGCACCACUACUACUACUAUUACUACUACUACUAUUACUUCUGCACAGGUAAAGACUAGAACACACCUCACUACUACUACUACUACUACUACUACCCAGGUAAAGACUAUAACACACCUCACUACCACUACUACUACUACUACUACUACUACUACUACUACUACCCAGGUAAAGACUAUAACACACCUCACCACCACUACUACUACUACUACUAC
Molecule: long non-coding RNA, 383 nt
Organism: Oncorhynchus tshawytscha (Chinook salmon)
Lineage: Eukaryota; Metazoa; Chordata; Actinopteri; Salmoniformes; Salmonidae
Source: Ensembl